ACAUAGCCAUGAUCAUGUGGUAAAUUAUUUGUCAGGAUAUGGCUGUACUUGAUUAAGCCUAUAUUGUAGACAGAGUGUCCGAAUUUACCAAGGUGUUAACUUUCUUAUUCAAGAAGAGGUUGUCUAGAAGACAAAAUCAGUUGGGAAACUCAAACAAGAAAGCUGAGAUUUGCCUACAAUAGAGUGAAAGAUUUAACAACGAGAAGGCUGAGUUUGAGCAAGCUUCCUUCACAAAAGGUUCUACAAGUUGUUUGCAGUUUAGUUCAGCCAAGACAGAGCUCCGCGUCAUGCAGUCCACGUCACACUACUGGCGCAAUCUCCUUUUCCUUCUCUCCGUGAUCUGCUAUGCAGUCUGCAUGGCCACGCUCCCUUGCGUUUCACUAGUGUGGCUGUGGUGGAAUGAGAGAAAUAAAGCUAGUAAAGGUGACAAAAUUAGAUCCAUAUGGGAAGUUUCAUCUUUAGCUGAUUAUCAUCUUUUUAACUGUAUGAAGGCCAAGACUCAAGGGAAAGAGAAGAGCACCAGGAAAAAUGCAGAAAUGGAAACCACCUCCAGUGGGGAACCUGAAGAUUAAUAUUGAUGGCGCUUUCAUCGAGGCAUCAAAUAUAGGCGGCUGGGGUUUCACGCUUAGAAAUGAUCAAGGAGUUUUGUGGGCUGCUGGUGCGGGUAAGCUGAAGCAUGUGUCUGAUCCAGUACACGCUGAAAUGCUUGCCCUGCAACAGGCUACGAAUAUUUGCAAUUGAAAUGGGCUGCCAGAAGGUAAUUUUUGAAAUGGAUUCCAUGAUGUUGAAACAAGCAAUCACUAGUCCUGAGUAUGAUUUAUCAAAGUUGGGAUCCUUAUUCCAAGAUGUAAAAUUUCAGAUGCGCAUAGGCCUGAUCGUUGUAAGCUUUCAACAUUGUAAUAGAGAGUGUAAUAAAGUAGCACAUGUUUUAGCUGC
Molecule: long non-coding RNA, 936 nt
Organism: Triticum aestivum (bread wheat)
Lineage: Eukaryota; Viridiplantae; Streptophyta; Magnoliopsida; Poales; Poaceae
Exons: 2
Source: RefSeq, a predicted model, not a curated record